This 239-nucleotide ribosomal RNA is filed under the name uncultured bacterium. RNAcentral's name for it is "partial 16S ribosomal RNA". It matches the Rfam family "Bacterial small subunit ribosomal RNA", at positions 96 to 334 of the family's 1533-position model. The record is from RNAcentral.
UGGCGGACGGGUGAGUAACGCGUGGGUAACCUGCCUCAUACAGGGGGAUAACAGUUAGAAAUGACUGCUAAUACCGCAUAAGACCACAGCACCGCAUGGUGUAGGGGUAAAAAACUCCGGUGGUAUGAGAUGGACCCGCGUCUGAUUAGGUAGUUGGUGGGGUAACGGCCUACCAAGCCGACGAUCAGUAGCCGACCUGAGAGGGUGACCGGCCACAUUGGGACUGAGACACGGCCCAA